AGUGAACGCUGACGGUAGGCCUAACACACGCAAGUCGAACGGCAGCACAGGAGAGCUUGCUCUCUGGGUGGCGAGUGGCGGACGGGUGAGGAAUACAUCGGAAUCUACUUUUUCGUGGGGGAUAACGUAGGGAAACUUACGCUAAUACCGCAUACGACCUACGGGUGAAAGCAGGGGAUCUUCGGACCUUGCGCGAUUGAAUGAGCCGAUGUCGGAUUAGCCAGGUGGCGGGGUAAAGGCCCACCAAGGCGACGAUCCGUAGCUGGUCUGAGAGGAUGAUCAGCCACACUGGAACUGAGACACGGUCCAGACUCCUACGGGAGGCAGCAGUGGGGAAUAUUGGACAAUGGGCGCAAGCCUGAUCCAGCCAUACCGCGUGGGUGAAGAAGGCCUUCGGGUUGUAAAGCCCUUUUGUUGGGAAAGAAAUCCAGCUGGUUAAUACCCGGUUGGGAUGACGGUACCCAAAGAAUAAGCACCGGCUAACUUCGUGCCAGCCGCCGCCGUAA
RNAcentral lists this ribosomal RNA (506 nucleotides) under uncultured bacterium. Its description in RNAcentral is "partial 16S ribosomal RNA". It matches the Rfam family "Bacterial small subunit ribosomal RNA", at positions 29 to 523 of the family's 1533-position model. The record is from RNAcentral.